GAUGAACGCUGGCGGCGUGCCUAAUACAUGCAAGUCGAGCGAACGGACGAGAAGCUUGCUUCUCUGAUGUUAGCGGCGGACGGGUGAGUAAAACGUGGAUAACCUACCUAUAAGACUGGGAUAACUUCGGGAAACCGGAGCUAAUACCGGAUAAUAUUUUGAACCGCAUGGUUCAAAAGUGAAAGACGGUCUUGCUGUCACUUAUAGAUGGAUCCGCGCUGCAUUAGCUAGUUGGUAAGGUAACGGCUUACCAAGGCAACGAUGCAUAGCCGACCUGAGAGGGUGAUCGGCCACACUGGAACUGAUACACGGUCCAGACUCCUACGGGAGGCAGCAGUAGGGAAUCUUCCGCAAUGGGCGAAAGCCUGACGGAGCAACGCCGCGUGAGUGAUGAAGGUCUUCGGAUCGUAAAACUCUGUUAUUAGGGAAGAACAUAUGUGUAAGUAACUGUGCACAUCUUGACGGUACCUAAUCAGAAAGCCACGGCUAACUACGUG
Molecule: ribosomal RNA, 497 nt
Filed under: uncultured bacterium
Lineage: Bacteria
Description: partial 16S ribosomal RNA
Rfam family: Bacterial small subunit ribosomal RNA
Source: RNAcentral